RNAcentral lists this ribosomal RNA (253 nucleotides) under uncultured bacterium. RNAcentral's name for it is "partial 16S ribosomal RNA". It matches the Rfam family "Bacterial small subunit ribosomal RNA", at positions 524 to 776 of the family's 1533-position model. The record is from RNAcentral.
UACGGAGGGGGCUAGCGUUGUUCGGAAUUACUGGGCGUAAAGAGCGCGUAGGCGGUUUAUAAAGUUGGAAGUGAAAGCCCGGGGCUUAACCUCGGAAUUGCUUACAAAACUCAUAAACUAGAGAACGAUAGGGGAUGGUGGAAUUCCUAGUGUAGAGGUGAAAUUCUUAGAUAUUAGGAGGAACACCGGUGGCGAAGGCGACCAUCUGGGUCGUUUCUGACGCUAAGGCGCGAAAGCGUGGGGAGCAAACAGG